GAUGAAGAACGCAGCGAAAUGCGAUACUUGGUGUGAAUUGCAGAAUCCCGUGAACCAUCGAGUCUUUGAACGCAAGUUGCGCCCGAAGCCAUUAGGCCGAGGGCACGCCUGCCUGGGCGUCACACGUCGUUGCCCCCCCCAUCUACUCCUUCGGGAUUGCGGGGGGCGGAUGAUGGCCUCCCGUGCGCCUCGCCGCGCGGUUGGCAUAAAUGCCAAGUCCUCGGCGACGCACGCCACGACAAUCGGUGGUUGCGAAACCUCGGUUGCCCGUCGUGUGCGGUCGUCGCGCAUCGAGGGCUCGAAAAAAUUGCCGAGUUCCGGCUCGGCUUUCAACGCGACCCCAGGUCAGGCGGGGUUACCCGCUGAAUUUAAGCAUAUCAAUAAGCGGAGA
Molecule: unclassified non-coding RNA, 391 nt
Filed under: soil metagenome
Description: partial contains 5.8S ribosomal RNA, internal transcribed spacer 2, and large subunit ribosomal RNA
Rfam family: 5.8S ribosomal RNA (bases 1-122)
Source: RNAcentral